RNAcentral lists this long non-coding RNA (238 nucleotides) under Ananas comosus (pineapple). RNAcentral describes it as "long non-coding RNA (ACOM_LNC029968)". The record is from RNAcentral. Lineage: Eukaryota; Viridiplantae; Streptophyta; Magnoliopsida; Poales; Bromeliaceae.
UUUUUAAUCAUUAAAAAAAAAUAGAAAUAGAGAUAGAGAGAGAGGAGGUGACGGUGUUGUUUUUUUUUUUUUUUUUUUGAAAGAUAGGUAGUACGUUGUCUGUUUCGUUUAUUUCAUUUAAAAAUAAAUUUAGCUGAAAAUAUGAAUUAAUUGGGAUUCGAACUUGGAUCUCGAAUACCAACCAUCAAAUUCUUUAUCACUUGCUCUAGGAACGAUCGGUGGUGGUGGUGUUGUUGUU